Molecule: ribosomal RNA, 460 nt
Filed under: uncultured bacterium
Lineage: Bacteria
Description: partial 16S ribosomal RNA
Rfam family: Bacterial small subunit ribosomal RNA
Source: RNAcentral
CCUACGGGUAGCAGCCGUGAGGAAUAUUGGUCAAUGGACGAGAGUCUGAACCAGCCAAGUAGCGUGAAGGAUGACUGCCCUAUGGGUUGUAAACUUCUUUUAUAUGGGAAUAAAAUGUUCCACGUGUGGGAUUUUGUAUGUACCAUAUGAAUAAGGAUCGGCUAACUCCGUUCCAGCAGCCGCGGUAAUACGGAGGAGCCGAGCGUUAUCCGGAUUUAUUGGGUUUAAAGGGAGCGUAGGUGGAUUGUUAAGUCAGUUGUGAAAGUUUGCGGCUCAACCGUAAAAUUGCAGUUGAAACUGGCAGUCUUGAGUACAGUAGAGGUGGGCGGAAUUCGUGGUGUAGCGGUGAAAUGCUUAGAUAUCACGAAGAACUCCGAUUGCGAAGGCAGUUCACUGGACUGCAACUGACACUGAGGCUCGAAAGUGUGGGUAUCAAACAGGAUUAGAUACCCUGGUAGUC